This 257-nucleotide ribosomal RNA is filed under the name uncultured Lactobacillus sp. RNAcentral describes it as "partial 16S ribosomal RNA". It matches the Rfam family "Bacterial small subunit ribosomal RNA", at positions 284 to 525 of the family's 1533-position model. Lineage: Bacteria; Bacillati; Bacillota; Bacilli; Lactobacillales; Lactobacillaceae. The record is from RNAcentral.
UAGCCCGACGUUGAGAGACUGAUCGGCCACAUUGGGGACUGAGACACGGGCCCAAACUACCUACGGGAGGCAGCAGUAGGGAAUCUUCCACAAUGGACGAAAGUCUGAUGGAGCAAACGCCGCGUGAGUGAAGAAGGUUUUCGGAUCGUAAAGCUCUGUUGUUGGUGAAGAAGGAUAGAGGUAGUAACUGGCCCUUUAUUUGACGGUAAUCAACCAGAAAGUCACGGGCUAACUACGUGCCAGCAGCCGCGGUAAAU